GACGAACGCUGGCGGCGUGCCUAAUACAUGCAAGUAGAACGCUGAAGGAGGAGCUUGCUCUUCUGGAUGAGUUGCGAACGGGUGAGUAACGCGUAGGUAACCUGCCUGGUAGCGGGGGAUAACUAUUGGAAACAAUAGCUAAUACCGCAUAACAGUAGAUGUUGCAUGACAUUUACUUAAAAGGUGCAAUUGCAUCACUACCAGAUGGACCUGCGUUGUAUUAGCUAGUUGGUGGGGUAACGGCUCACCAAGGCGACGAUACAUAGCCGACCUGAGAGGGUGAUCGGCCACACUGGGACUGAGACACGGCCCAGACUCCUACGGGAGGCAGCAGUAGGGAAUCUUCGGCAAUGGACGGAAGUCUGACCGAGCAACGCCGCGUGAGUGAAGAAGGUUUUCGGAUCGUAAAGCUCUGUUGUAAGAGAAGAACGAGUGUGAGAGUGGAAAGUUCACACUGUGACGGUAUCUUACCAGAAAGGGACGGCUAACUACGUG
Molecule: ribosomal RNA, 495 nt
Filed under: uncultured bacterium
Lineage: Bacteria
Description: partial 16S ribosomal RNA
Rfam family: Bacterial small subunit ribosomal RNA
Source: RNAcentral